UGUUGCUUCGGCGGGUAGGGUCUCCGCGACCCUCCCGGCCUCCCGCCUCCGGGCGGGUCGGCGCCCGCCGGAGGAUAACCAAACUCUGAUUUAACGACGUUUCUUCUGAGUGGUACAAGCAAAUAAUCAAAACUUUUAACAACGGAUCUCUUGGUUCUGGCAUCGAUGAAGAACGCAGCGAAAUGCGAUAAGUAAUGUGAAUUGCAGAAUUCAGUGAAUCAUCGAAUCUUUGAACGCACAUUGCGCCCGCCAGCAUUCUGGCGGGCAUGCCUGUUCGAGCGUCAUUUCAACCCUCAAGCUCUGCUUGGUGUUGGGGCCCUACAGCCGAUGUAGGCCCUCAAAGGUAGUGGCGGACCCUCCCGGAGCCUCCUUUGCGUAGUAACUUUACGUCUCGCACUGGGAUCCGGAGGGACUCUUGCCGUAAAACCCCCCAAUUUUCCAAAGGUUGACCUCGGAUCAGGUAGGAAUACCCGCUGAACUU
RNAcentral lists this ribosomal RNA (481 nucleotides) under Colletotrichum sp. GZUCCZY0101. RNAcentral describes it as "eukaryotic LSU rRNA". The stretch from base 131 to 284 matches the Rfam family "5.8S ribosomal RNA". Lineage: Eukaryota; Fungi; Ascomycota; Sordariomycetes; Glomerellales; Glomerellaceae. The record is from RNAcentral.